GGCGAGGCGAGGCCUACGGAGCGGAGGAAGACACUUAAAGAUGAAGUGCUUAAUUCAAGGUCACAGAAUGUCGGGGAUGGACCUCCAGAUUUCCUUACUGACCUGCAUUAUCUUGUGGAUACCUGAGUGAAUUCCACACCACCCAUUUUAUAGAUGAAGCCACUGAGACGUGGAGCAACUGACUGAGUAGUCACUGCCCCACCCCUGCCUGGAGCCUCACACAUGACUUCUCUUAGUGACCACAGGUUGGUUGAGGGGUUUAACAAGGCUAAGAAGGUGAGACGUGGUCUUGUAACACAGUGGUUAAGAAUGUGACUUUGGAGCCAGCCUGCUAGGGGCUGAAUUCUGACUCAGCCAUUUAUUAACUGUGUGACCUUAGGGAGGAGGACCUGGUUGAUAGAAGAAUUUAUCUCAUAGUCUUAACAUCCACUGUAAUUCCGAACUUUGAGGACGAUAGAGAUCAGUGGGCUUUGACUGCCCAGCAUGCAGUCUCCAUUCUUAGGUCAUAGAAUUUUCCACACUCCUUGACGGAGGUUCUUAACCCUUAUCCAUCAGCAUUCUCAGACAGCACCUCCGGUUAGGGACAGUAUCUGACCGUCCGACAUCCCUGCAGCCCCCAUGCUGUCACACAGACUCAGCCUCAGGUAGAUGGUUUCCGUAGAUGGUGGCUUUCUUUGGACCCUUGAUAUCAACCAGUUACUAUUUGACUCUUCUGCAGAACCCCAUGUUGACCCCUGCUUUGAGGUGGCAGCGUUAACACUACUCUUUGUUAUAAGCUCUCGUCUGGGGCAACUCAGGAGAACGGGACCAGAUGUGCAGAGGUAAUGAAUACCA
RNAcentral lists this non-coding RNA (834 nucleotides) under Pongo abelii (Sumatran orangutan). The record is from RNAcentral. Lineage: Eukaryota; Metazoa; Chordata; Mammalia; Primates; Hominidae.